This is a long non-coding RNA of Anopheles gambiae (African malaria mosquito), 1060 nucleotides long. RefSeq lists it as uncharacterized. Lineage: Eukaryota; Metazoa; Arthropoda; Insecta; Diptera; Culicidae. The transcript is spliced from 2 exons. The record is from RefSeq and is a predicted model, not a curated record.
AAAGAGUAGAGAAGGCCCUACAAGUUUUGCUUGCACACAACUUGGAUGCAAGUGAGCAAAAAGUACGGCAGGUGUCGGCCAUCUUUUUUUUUGUUCGGGCAUGAUUUUUGUGCUAUGCGCAUAGCAUAGCCAUCGGCGCCUAAGGGUUUGAAGCGGUUGAAAUAUUUCGCAUAAAUUUUCAUGAAAUUUUUCACAUUUGAAAAAAAAUCAUCAUUAUGGCGUUUAAAUCGUAUUCGGUUGCAGACUUUCCCAAUGUGUUGAUGCUUUUGUCUUUCCUACUGAGAGUUAGAUAUUAGAGAAAAUAACUGAAAAUAGAUAGGAAUAUCUUUUUCUUCGCUUAAGCGGUAUUUAUUUAUUAUGUUUAAAAACGAACGUUCGGGUACGGGCCCGGAUAAUCGCGCCAACUGAAUUGGUUGAUCUGUGAUACCACUGUGCGAAUUGACAGCAUAGCACCAUUGUUGUUUAUAAAAUCGUUUGCUGUGUAAACAUUGCAAAUUAUCAAAUUCAGAAGCGCUUUAUACAUUAUAAACUAAGUUAUAUAAUGCCCUAUUUGAUUGCAUCUGGUAAAAUAUUCCUCGUUUACUUGCAGAUAAUUACGUACUCCCAAAUUAAACACCCGAUCGUCAAUUUAUUAUAAAAGUUGAGGCUGAUCAUCUAAAUCAAGUUUGUUCAGAACUGAAGCGGUUGAACUAAUCCCGAAAAUGACUGUAUCAAUGUAUCAAUGUAAUCACAAUUCGUGAUACCUUCAUUCAACUUUAUGGUGACAAAUAGUCAUUCCUCUUAAUAAUCGCAUAAAAACGCUUGCGGCUACAACAUUUUCUACAACAAACCUUACACGCCACACAAAGAUGUAGGUGUGAAUAUACAUUGCUGUGUGACAAGUGGUUUUUUUUUUAACUUGGACGAUUGUAUUGGUAAAGCAAAACUCUUUUCAAAAAAACAUGGAAACAGGCCAAACACGAAAAUAUUUAUACAUGGUCCAUAAUGCAAACUGGAUGGGUGGAUACUUACGAAUCAAAUUGGUCAUAAAGGCUAUAUAUAACAAAUAGCGCUAUAUGAA